AACGAACGCUGGCGGCAUGCCUAACACAUGCAAGUCGAACGAGACCUUCGGGUCUAGUGGCGCACGGGUGCGUAACGCGUGGGAAUCUGCCCUUGGGUUCGGAGUAACUCGCCGAAAGGCGUGCUAAUACCGGAUGAUGUCGUAAGACCAAAGAUUUAUCGCCCAGGGAUGAGCCCGCGUAAGAUUAGGUAGUUGGUGAGGUAAAGGCUCACCAAGCCGACGAUCUUUAGCUGGUCUGAGAGGAAGGUCCCCCACAUUGGAACUGAGACACGGUCCAA
RNAcentral lists this ribosomal RNA (278 nucleotides) under uncultured bacterium. Its description in RNAcentral is "partial 16S ribosomal RNA". It matches the Rfam family "Bacterial small subunit ribosomal RNA", at positions 29 to 334 of the family's 1533-position model. The record is from RNAcentral.